UGACCUCGGAUCAGGUAGGAAUACCCGCUGAACUUAAGCAUAUCAAUAAGCGGAGGAAAAGAAACCAACAGGGAUUGCCUUAGUAACGGCGAGUGAAGCGGCAACAGCUCAAAUUUGAAAUCUGGCCCCCAGGCCCGAGUUGUAAUUUGUAGAGGAUGCUUCUGGCGACGCGCCUUCCGAGUUCCCUGGAACGGGACGCCAAAGAGGGUGAGAGCCCCGUCCGGUCGUGCGCCUAGCCUCUGUGAAGCUCCUUCGACGAGUCGAGUAGUUUGGGAAUGCUGCUCUAAAUGGGAGGUAUACGUCUUCUAAAGCUAAAUACCGGCCAGAGACCGAUAGCGCACAAGUAGAGUGAUCGAAAGAUGAAAAGCACUUUGAAAAGAGGGUUAAAUAGUACGUGAAAUUGCUGAAAGGGAAGCGCUUAUGACCAGACUUGGGCUUGGUGAAUCAUCCGGCGUUCUCGCCGGUGCACUUUGCCGGUCCAGGCCAGCAUCAGUUCGUCCCGGGGGAUAAAGGCUUCGGGAACGUAGCUCUUUCGGGAGUGUUAUAGACCGUUGCGUAAUACCCUGGGGUGGACUGAGGUACGCGUUCUGCAAGGAUGCUGGCGUAAUGGUCAUCAGUGACCCGUCUUGAACAA
Molecule: ribosomal RNA, 634 nt
Filed under: Geosmithia flava
Lineage: Eukaryota; Fungi; Ascomycota; Sordariomycetes; Hypocreales; Bionectriaceae
Description: eukaryotic LSU rRNA
Rfam family: Eukaryotic large subunit ribosomal RNA
Source: RNAcentral